RNAcentral lists this ribosomal RNA (274 nucleotides) under uncultured bacterium. RNAcentral describes it as "partial 16S ribosomal RNA". It matches the Rfam family "Bacterial small subunit ribosomal RNA", at positions 523 to 796 of the family's 1533-position model. The record is from RNAcentral.
AUACAGAGGGUGCGAGCGUUAAUCGGAAUUACUGGGCGUAAAGCGCGCGUAGGCGGCUUAUUAAGUCAGAUGUGAAAUCCCCGGGCUCAACCUGGGAACUGCAUCUGAUACUGGUAAGCUAGAGUUUUGGAGAGGGAAGUAGAAUUUCAGGUGUAGCGGUGAAAUGCAUAGAGAUCUGAAGGAAUACCAGUGGCGUAGGCGACUUCCUGGCCAAAAACUGACGCUGAGGUGCGAAAGCGUGGGUAGCAAACGGGAUUAGAAACCCCUGUAGUCC